This is a long non-coding RNA of Amphiprion ocellaris (clown anemonefish), 1537 nucleotides long. RefSeq lists it as uncharacterized. Lineage: Eukaryota; Metazoa; Chordata; Actinopteri; Pomacentridae. The transcript has 2 exons. The record is from RefSeq and is a predicted model, not a curated record.
UGUAGAAAAAUGCUUUCUAGGCAUAGCCUCUCAUAAAGUGCAUAUAGUUAAAGAGCCUGAAUUUAAAGUGCCUGAAUUCCUCAAUGUUCAAACGUUUGAUUGUCAGUCAGCCAUGUCUUAUACUGUCUCUUAAAACUGACAAAAGUGGAAAUUUCUCUGAUAGCUAUAGGUAAAGUAUUCCAGUUUGUCCAACAUUUAAUAGAUAAGCCAUUCUGAGUCCUCUCGUCUUUGCGAAACUGUCAGAUCACACAGGGAUCAUGAGUGAAAAGCGCUUUUCAAGUCCUGCCACAAAUUCUCAGUUCGAUUAAGGUCUGGAUUCUGACUUGUCCGCUUCAGAGUGUUCGCCUUAUUUUAUUGUCUUUAGGCCAUUUAGUGAAGCUUUAGCUGGAUACUUUCAGAUCAGUGUCUUGCUUGAAAACAAAGGUGUCACUUCUCUUGCAGACUGCAUCAGGUUGCCCCCUAGGAUUUCCUUAUACUUUGCUGUAUUAGGUUUACCUGCUACCUUUACAGCACUUCCAAGGCCUGUUGCUGAUAAGUAGUAGUUCCAACAUCAUGAUGCUUCCACCACCAUGCUUCACAAUGGGGAUGGUAUGUUUGUGAUAAUGUGCAGUGUCUGGUUCCUGCCAGAUUUAUCAUCUAGUCUGAUGAUCAAAAGGUUCAAUUUGAUCUCAGACCAAAGAAUCUCCCCUCAAGUUGACUUCAGAGUCUGCCACUGUCACAGUCACAGCCAGAGGCUGUGAUUAGGUGGCAGUGCUCUCUCCUCCUCCAGUCUGUUUUUUCUGUCUCUAGGUGUGUGGCAGUGGUGGGCAGCAGGUGUGGCUGAUUACCAAUCAGCUGAUCGGGUGCAGGUGGGAGUCGCUCAUCAGGCUGGCUGGGCUCACUAUAAAGAGUGACUCCUCUUGUCAGUUGGUGCCGAACCGUCUCCUAACAUAUUGACUCCUGCCUGCUUCUGUUUACCGUCUCUUCUGGUUGGAAAGCCACCUGGCUGAGGCUUCCUGGCUCUACGAGGACUGGGGCUUUCUCCAAGGAGUCUCAAGAGGCUAAGGAGGACUUUGGCUGCUGCCACGCCACUACAGGAACGCCAUUCCACUGGGAGCUGGAACCACCGUCGCAGUCCACUUACCUGCAGCCUAGGAUUCCAACUGUUGGCUGCCGAACACCUAGGACAAGAAUCGUUGGUUCUGACUUCAUACCAAAGAGAGACUAUUCAGCUAAGUUCUCGUUCUAGCAGCAUCAGAGAAUAGAGCAUUGUUGUUUUGUAUAGUUGUUGUUCCUGCUUGUUUAGUGGGAUUCUGGGAUUAAAGUUUGGGUGAUUUGUGUGAACUAGGUUUAGUAGUUAAAGUUUUGUAGUUUUUCUGCUUGGAGUUAUCAAAGGUGGGUUAACUAUUCUGUAUAUAGUGUUUACACCUUCCCUCUAGAAAGUCUUGUUUUGUUAUGUUUACUGCGUCUUCUAAGUUACUUCCCUUUCUGGUAAAAUAGUUCUGGUUGUAGUUGUUUUUGGUCUAGCUGUUGUACAAUAAAAUCUUGUUUAAAUUGA